This 427-nucleotide ribosomal RNA is filed under the name uncultured bacterium. RNAcentral describes it as "partial 16S ribosomal RNA". It matches the Rfam family "Bacterial small subunit ribosomal RNA", at positions 355 to 774 of the family's 1533-position model. The record is from RNAcentral.
UGGGGAAUUUUGGACAAUGGGCGCAAGCCUGAUCCAGCAAUGCCGCGUGAGUGAAGAAGGCCCUCGGGUUGUAAAGCUCUUUUGUCAGGGAAGAAAAGGUGAUCUCUAACACAGGUCACUCAUGACGGUACCUGAAGAAUAAGCACCGGCUAACUACGUGCCAGCAGCCGCGGUAAUACGUAGGGUGCAAGCGUUAAUCGGAAUUACUGGGCGUAAAGCGUGCGCAGGCGGUUAUAUAAGUCAGAUGUGAAAUCCCCGGGCUCAACCUGGGAACUGCAUUUGAGACUGUAUGGCUAGAGUGUGUCAGAGGGGGGUAGAAUUCCACGUGUAGCAGUGAAAUGCGUAGAUAUGUGGAGGAAUACCGAUGGCGAAGGCAGCCCCCUGGGAUAACACUGACGCUCAUGCACGAAAGCGUGGGGAGCAAACA